CAGCUCUAGGCGGUGGAUCACUCGGCUCGCGCGUCGAUGAAGAGCGCAGCCAGCUGCGUGAA
RNAcentral lists this ribosomal RNA (62 nucleotides) under Meretrix petechialis. RNAcentral describes it as "partial 5.8S ribosomal RNA". It matches the Rfam family "5.8S ribosomal RNA", at positions 1 to 61 of the family's 154-position model. From Rfam's summary of the family: 5.8S ribosomal RNA (5.8S rRNA) is a component of the large subunit of the eukaryotic ribosome. Lineage: Eukaryota; Metazoa; Mollusca; Bivalvia; Venerida; Veneridae. The record is from RNAcentral.